ACAGUACAAUCUGAACAGGCCUGAUAUGGAAUGAAACCAUAAAGGAGCCGGGCCGCAACAUGCGGCAGCAGGUAGGAAAGCACCUGUGGGACAGUC
Molecule: regulatory RNA element, 96 nt
Organism: Clostridium sp. FS41
Lineage: Bacteria; Bacillati; Bacillota; Clostridia; Eubacteriales; Clostridiaceae
Rfam family: NiCo (Nickel/Cobalt) riboswitch aptamer
Source: Rfam